RNAcentral lists this ribosomal RNA (351 nucleotides) under Triticum aestivum (bread wheat). Its description in RNAcentral is "partial small subunit ribosomal RNA". Lineage: Eukaryota; Viridiplantae; Streptophyta; Magnoliopsida; Poales; Poaceae. The record is from RNAcentral.
AUGUGCCCAGUGUUGCCCAAACUCAUCGUCUCAGAAUUGACCAUGUUCGAAUGCAUUGGGAUCCAUCAAAUGGAUAUUAUAGCCACCGUCAACUACAUGAAGAAAGAGAAUAAAUGGCAACAAAUUUGUUUCACCCGUUGCAACGCACGGGCAUGUUUACUAGUCAUAAUUAACGAGUACUCCCUCCGUCCCAAAAUUCUUGUGUUAGAUUUGACUAAAUAUGGAUGUAUCAAGUCACGUUUUAGUAUUAGAUACAUCCGUAUUGUGAGAAUAAACUUUCUCUCGUUCUUUUGGCAGUGCCAUGAGGUUAGAGAGUUUUCUGUUCUCACGGAUUUGAUUAUUCGGAUCUGA